Non-coding RNA from Musa acuminata subsp. malaccensis (wild Malaysian banana), 3937 nucleotides. Lineage: Eukaryota; Viridiplantae; Streptophyta; Magnoliopsida; Zingiberales; Musaceae. The record is from RefSeq and is a predicted model, not a curated record.
UUCGUUUGGUCAAACCAAACAAAACCCGACUUCAAAAUUCCCGCCAGGAAACGUUGCCUUCGUCUUCUCUCGACUCCGGCGUUGCUCCGCGUCCUCCUCGCCAGAGCCUCCUUCACCAACCUAACACCCACCUUGUUCUUCUCUUCCUUCAAGCCCACCCUCUCUCUCUCUCUCUCUCUCUCUCUCUCUCGCUGUAAAUAUAUUUCUAAUAUGAUGAUUGGCCUGAGAUGGAGCAGCGCCAUCCAUCACUCUUUUUCCUUGCAUCACUCUCUUCUUCGAUCCCUGUCUAAUUUCCCCCUUCCUGUGAGCUCGUAUCCAGCAAACGAUCUCUCUCGCUACACCGCCAGGAUCCAAGAUUUGUGUCGCCUCGGCUACGUAAGCGAAGCACGUAGCGUGUUCGAUACGAUGCCCCACAGAGACACCAUCACCUGGAACUCCAUGAUCUUUGGCUACUCCCUCAACGGCAUGAUGGAUGAUGCCCGGAGGCUCUUUGACGCCUUUGCUGGAAGGAACACACGGACGUGGACCAUCUUGGUUUCUGGUUAUGCCAGAAGUGGCUGCCUCGAGGAGGCCCAGCUCCUAUUCGACUUGAUGCCCGAGCGCAACACGGUUUCCUGGAACGCUUUGAUUAGUGGGUAUGCACAGAAUGGGUAUGUUGGCAUGGCUCGGCGUCUCUUCGAUACGAUGCCGAUGCAUGAUAUUGCAUCGUGGAAUGCUAUCAUCACUGGGUACUGCCAUGCUCAUCAGAUGGUUGAAGCGAAGGAAUUGUUCGAGCAGAUGCACAUGAAGGACUUGGUUUCUUGGACGGUGAUGAUUUCUGGGUAUGUUAUGGUUAAUGAACAUGGAAAGGCUUGGCGGACUUUCCUUAGGAUGCAUCGGGAAGUAGUGAGACCGGACCAGUCUAAUUUCACGGCCGUUAUCUCUGCAGUUGUGGCUCUUGGCAAUCUCAAGCUGCUCGAAAACCUACGUACUUUGGUGAUCAAGACAAAUUUCGAAGGGGAUGUGGUAGUGGGAACAGCUAUUCUGAAUGCUUACACGAAGGAUGGCGGAGGGUUGGAUGAAGCAGUGAAGUUCUUUGAACAAAUGCCAGAGAGGAAUGAGUACUCUUGGUCCACGAUGAUUGCUACCUUUGCACAUACUGGGCUGUUGGAUGAUGCCAUCUCUAUUUACGAGAGGGAUCCUGUGAAGUCCCUUGCCUCCCAAACUGCAAUGUUGACUGGCUAUGCUCAGAAUGGCAGGAUAAGUGCAGCAAAAAUCCUUUUUGAACAGAUUCCCAAUCCUAGUGUGGUUUCUUGGAAUGCUAUGAUUGCUGGGUAUGCACAGAACAAUAUGUUAGAUGAAGCAAAGCAGUUGUUUCAUAGGAUGCCCAUGAGGAAUGCAGUCUCAUGGUCUGCGAUGAUUGCUGGUUGUGCGCAGAAUGGAGAGAAUGAAGAAGCUCUGCAUCUUCUGUCGGAACUUCAUAGGCUUGGGAUGUUGCCCAGCCUUUCAAGUUUGACCAGUGGUUUCUUUGCCUCUGGUAAUAUUGGAGCUCUUGAGUUUGGCAGACAACUACACUCGCUUUCUCUAAAAGCAGGUUCUCAGUUCAAUUCUUAUGUUAACAAUGGUUUAAUUACCAUGUAUGCCAAGUGCAAGAACAUUGAAGCUGUGUCUGGCGUUUUCCGGUGGAUGAAAGCAAGAGAUACUGUCUCCUGGAAUUCUUUGAUAACUGCUCUUUCUCAGAAUAACAUGAUGGAGGAUGCACGAAUUGCUUUCGAUAAGAUGUCGAAGCGAGAUGUUGUGUCUUGGACUGCCAUUAUAUCUGCAUAUACACAGGCUGAAAAUUGGAAUGAAGCUUUGAAACUCUUUCUCAAAAUGUUAAACGAAGGAAUACUACCCAACUCUCUGACGAUUACUAGUGUUCUUAGUGCUUGUGGGAGUUUGGCUGCCACAAACCUUGGCCGACAGAUCCAUGGCCUUACAUUUAAAAUGGGCUAUGAUCUGGAACUAUUUGUUGGCAAUGCUUUGAUUACAAUGUACUUUAAGUGUGGCUGUGCAGAUUCGUUUUGGGUCUUCUAUGAGAUGUUUGAGUGUGAUAUAGUUACAUGGAACUCAAUGCUUGCAGGAUGUGCUCAACAUGGUCUUGGAAGGGAGGCCGUGGAGAUUUUUGAGCAAAUGAAGUCUGAACAAGUCCUUCCAAAUGCAGUGACAUUCUUAGUGCUCUUAUGUGCUUGUAGCCAUGGCGGCUUAGUUGAUGAAGGAUGGCACUAUUUCAAGUCAAUGAGCAAAGUUUAUGGAAUCAUGCCAUCAAGAGAGCAUUAUGCUUCUAUGGUUGAUCUUCUAGGGCGGGCUGGUUACUUAUCUGAAGCUGAGGAGUUCAUAGAGAACAUGCCCAUCGAGCCAGACUCUGUGGUUUGGGCUGCACUUCUUGGUGCGUGUAGAAUCCAUCAGAAUGUGGAACUUGGUCGGAGGGUCGCUGAGAGACUGUUUGAUAUGGAUCCACAAGAUUCAGGUAACUAUGUCUUACUCUCUAACUUAUAUGCAUCUCUUGGGUUGUGGGAUGAAGUUGAAGAAGUCAGAAAGUUGAUGAUAGAUCGACAUGUGAUAACAAGGCCAGGUUACAGUUGGACUCAAAUAAAGAAAAAGAUUAAACCUGUCACUGCGAAUAUACAGCAGGAACAUAUUGGCGUGAUUUAUGCUACUAUGAAAGAAUUUUACAAUAACAUGAAAGAUCCAGGUUAUGACUCUGAUUUGAAAUCCCUUAAAUAUGAUGCGGAAGAGGAGGAGGAUGCACAUCUCUACCACAGUUGACUUAGAGGUUACUAUGGCCAAGUUUCACUAAGUCGUGUACAAAAAGAUCAGUGAAAUGAGUAAGAAAUAGCCCUAUAUUUUGUAGAAAAUGCACUAAGAAUUGCUACUGGCAGCAACAACAAUACCAAAAGGAGAACACUACUGAUAAGAUCAUAUAGUUCUUUUUAUUUUAUAAGCUAUGAUGCAGAAUUUCUAGCUUUGUGGGUGGAGAUAUUUUUAACUUUGGAAACACCCAAAAAGAAACAGAGUGAUAUUGCCUCAUGGCAUCCCUUUCUUUCUCAAACUCGAAGUCUUUGAUCUGUAUGUAAGGAGGCAAGAGUAUGGUUUCUGAUGGUUGAAGGCCAAGCCUAUUUGCAAAUUUCUCCUCCGCCUUUCACCUUCUCCUCCUCUGCUUCAAAUUUGUUUUUGCAAUCUCCUACUUCAGACAAUCUCUGUUCAGAAGGAUUCUUCAAUGUUGUUUGAAGAUACUUGGAAAUGCUAUACAGUUUACUGGCAUUACUUUGAAAGCUCUAUCUCAGUGAGCACCAUACAGUUGUCUUACUGGAUACUGCCCUCUCAACAGCUAAGCUUAUGAGGAUGUCAUCACAAAAUAAAAAGAGAAAAGAAGACAAGGUGAAGCAGCUGAAAGUGCAAGCAGCAGGUUGAGGUAGCUCAACCUUUCUACUGGGGCAAAUGCAGAUGGCUGAUGGCAAAUCACCCACUUCAUGGUCAGAUAACCAAGUUCACGUCAGAAAAUGCACAGAACAAAUGCCAACAUCUCAAAAGCUGUCCUUUGUUUGAAAUGCAAAUUUUAUGGAUGCUGUCCUUCUUUCUUGCUCUGGAAAGUCGAUUUCGAUGCAUUUUAGCAUGCUAUACUGGAAAAUGAUAGUUCAGCCACUUCAGUGCCCAAGAAAAAGAAGGUUGAGCUAAUGUUUCAAUUUGUUUCUGAUGAGCAGUAGUCCAUCUUAAGUGAUGGAUAGGAUCCGUGCGAAAAUGUCACGUACCCAAGUUGGCUAUCUAAAUGCUGGUCUCUGAUAGCUAAUCCAAUCAAGGUACCUGUUCAAGUUGAUCAGUGAGCUGCCUUCACUGGUGUCACAUUGCUGCGGUGAAGAAGAAAUGGAGUUCUGUGGGCUCGAAGACCUGAUAGAGCCAAGGUGAAAAAGGACGGGGA